This 264-nucleotide ribosomal RNA is filed under the name uncultured archaeon. RNAcentral's name for it is "partial 16S ribosomal RNA". It matches the Rfam family "Archaeal small subunit ribosomal RNA", at positions 719 to 982 of the family's 1478-position model. The record is from RNAcentral.
ACACGACUACAUUAGAUACCCGUGUAGUCCCAGCCGUAAACGAUGCGCGUUAGGUGUAUCGGUGACCACGAGUCACCGAGGUGCCGAAGGGAAACCGUGAAACGUGCCGCCUGGGUAGUACGGUCGCAAGGCUGAAACUUAAAGGAAUUGGCGGGGAGCACCACAACGGGUGGAGCCUGCGGUUUAAUUGGACUCAACGCCGGGAAGCUCACCGGAUAAGACAGCGGAAUGAUUGCCGGGCUGAAGACUCUGCAUGACUAGCUG